GCCUGGGUGGCUCAGUCGGUUAAGCAUCUGACUUCGGCUCAGGUCAUGAUCUCGCGGUUCGUGAGUUUGAGCCCCACGUCAGGCU
RNAcentral lists this transfer RNA (85 nucleotides) under Felis catus (domestic cat). It matches the Rfam family "tRNA". From Rfam's summary of the family: Transfer RNA (tRNA) molecules are approximately 80 nucleotides in length. Their secondary structure includes four short double-helical elements and three loops (D, anti-codon, and T loops). The record is from Rfam by way of RNAcentral. Lineage: Eukaryota; Metazoa; Chordata; Mammalia; Carnivora; Felidae.